Molecule: small RNA, 149 nt
Filed under: Escherichia coli
Lineage: Bacteria; Pseudomonadati; Pseudomonadota; Gammaproteobacteria; Enterobacterales; Enterobacteriaceae
Also listed under: 3 other names
Description: Short Intergenic Abundant RNA
Rfam family: Short Intergenic Abundant RNA
About the family: This family contains multiple ncRNA from E. coli that were identified in a large scale screen of E. coli, were they were called candidates 43,55 and 61. These RNAs have also been identified by other groups and called QUAD RNAs.
Source: RNAcentral
UUGACACUAAGGACAGAGUGACAUAAUUUCAGGAGUGAGGGUUAGGGAGAGGUUUCCCCCUCCCCCUGGUGUUCUUAGUAAGCCUGGAAGCUAAUCACUAAGAGUAUCACCAGUAUGAUGACGUGCUUCAUCAUGACCCUUUCCUUAUU